UUUUGACCUCAAAUCAGGUAGGACUACCCG
RNAcentral lists this ribosomal RNA (30 nucleotides) under Aspropaxillus septentrionalis. RNAcentral describes it as "partial 25S large subunit ribosomal RNA". Lineage: Eukaryota; Fungi; Basidiomycota; Agaricomycetes; Agaricales. The record is from RNAcentral.